Molecule: ribosomal RNA, 450 nt
Filed under: uncultured Sphingomonas sp.
Lineage: Bacteria; Pseudomonadati; Pseudomonadota; Alphaproteobacteria; Sphingomonadales; Sphingomonadaceae
Description: bacterial SSU rRNA
Rfam family: Bacterial small subunit ribosomal RNA
Source: RNAcentral
AGUAGUUGAUCCUGCUCAGACACGCUGGCGGCAUGCCUAACACAUGCAAGUCGAACGAUGCUUUCGGGCAUAGUGGCGCACGGGUGCGUAACGCGUGGGAAUCUGCCCUCAGGUUCGGAAUAACAGUUGGAAACGACUGCUAAUACCGGAUGAUGACGUUAAGUCCAAAGAUUUAUCGCCUGAGGAUGAGCCCGCGUAGGAUUAGCUAGUUGGUGUGGUAAGAGCGCACCAAGGCGACGAUCCUUAGCUGGUCUGAGAGGAUGAUCAGCCACACUGGGACUGAGACACGGCCCAGACUCCUACGGGAGGCAACAGUGGGGAAUAUUGGACAAUGGGCGCAAGCCUGAUCCAGCAAUGCCGCGUGAGUGAUGAAGGCCUUAGGGUUGUAAAGCUCUUUUACCCGGGAUGAUAAUGACAGUACCGGGAGAAUAAGCUCCGGCUAACUCCGUA